Non-coding RNA from Phrynosoma platyrhinos (Desert horned lizard), 73 nucleotides. NCBI's taxonomy places the organism in Eukaryota, Metazoa, Chordata, Lepidosauria, Squamata, Phrynosomatidae. The record is from the annotation of a GenBank genome assembly.
GCCGGAGUAGUGUAGUGGGUUGAGCGUUGGGACUAUGACUCCGGAGACCAGGGUUCGGAUCCCGGCUCAACCA